This 495-nucleotide ribosomal RNA is filed under the name Aureobasidium pullulans. RNAcentral's name for it is "eukaryotic LSU rRNA". The stretch from base 133 to 286 matches the Rfam family "5.8S ribosomal RNA". The record is from RNAcentral. Lineage: Eukaryota; Fungi; Ascomycota; Dothideomycetes; Dothideales; Saccotheciaceae.
CUACCUUGUUGCUUUGGCGGGACCGCUCGGUCUCGAGCCGCUGGGGAUUCGUCCCAGGCGAGCGCCCGCCAGAGUUAAACCAAACUCUUGUUAUUUAACCGGUCGUCUGAGUUAAAAUUUUGAAUAAAUCAAAACUUUCAACAACGGAUCUCUUGGUUCUCGCAUCGAUGAAGAACGCAGCGAAAUGCGAUAAGUAAUGUGAAUUGCAGAAUUCAGUGAAUCAUCGAAUCUUUGAACGCACAUUGCGCCCCUUGGUAUUCCGAGGGGCAUGCCUGUUCGAGCGUCAUUACACCACUCAAGCUAUGCUUGGUAUUGGGCGUCGUCCUUAGUUGGGCGCGCCUUAAAGACCUCGGCGAGGCCACUCCGGCUUUAGGCGUAGUAGAAUUUAUUCGAACGUCUGUCAAAGGAGAGGAACUCUGCCGACUGAAACCUUUAUUUUUCUAGGUUGACCUCGGAUCAGGUAGGGAUACCCGCUGAACUUAAGCAUAUCAAUAA